UCCAGUGGUCGUAUACUACUCGGUCCAUUUUUGGGGAACCUAAAUUCUCAAUAGAGUAUCCUUCCCCCACUUCUCACAUUCACUAUCAUGUCACUCCCUCUAGAGCAAUUCUAGGAACAAUUAUAUUUUUGAUUCUAGUUUACAAUUCCCUACUUCAAAAAAGGGCAGAGUAAAAAAGGAUACAGAAUAUACAAACAUGAAUGGGGUGUGGAAUAGAUCCACUAUUUCCAUGCAGAAGAGGGAAUUCUAAGCACAAAAGAUUCAUAACGUUCAUUACAGAAUGAUUAGCAUAGAAUUCAGUAAUAUUACUGCUAGAAAAAUCAGUUGAAAGACUAAUUUUCAAGACUUGUUGGGACAUUAAAUAAUCUUACAAGGCUGCCAUUUAAUCACUCAUAUUUCACUUUUACUAAUCAUAUGCCAAUCUCAGUAUUCUAUCUGACGAUCUCCUUCUCUGUGAUGCCAACUCGUCCCAUCACAGGAGUCUACCCCUGCAGCUACUUAGACAUUCUUUUCUGACAAUGGUCAAAUUUCCUGAUGUAGACAUUUCCCUUUCAGACACUGAUGCUCUUUGGGAUACCAUUGCAGCUGCCAUGUUGGUGGGAGAUGCCAUGAUUUUGACCAUCAGCCUCCAGGCUUUCAAAAUUUUCACAAGACUGUACUUAACAGAAAGAAAACACACAAAUAAAAAAGUGGGGUGAGGAGGAAUAUCCAAGCAUUGACUUGCCUACACAAGACAUAUUCUGUUUGCAGCUGGGUAAAGGCUCUCCUUCGUUCCUGGAAUAGUCUUCCUCAUCACUAUAGCCAACUCACUUCAGUUGAAACACUUAAGAAAGAACUUUGAUGAUUGCCAUGACUGAUCAUGAUCCCAGAGUACCAAUAAUAAAGCAUACUACCCACUUCCUGAUGGAGAGGAGACUGACUUCAAAUCUAUAUUCCAUGUACCAAGUGAGCGUGCCAUUGGACAUGACUCAUCCCUUUAACACCUACAGUAAUUAAUCUGUCCUAAAGAGGUUUUUUUGGUUUUGUUUUUCAUUUCACCCUCUUUUAAACUAUGGUAGCACUAUUUCUUCAAAGCUGGAUCAAUGGAUUCAUUUCCAAAGUGGAAGUAAUGACUAAACAGGGGAAAACCACCUCAGGAAAAAGGGAAUUCAACCAGUCAACAUAUACAAGCUGUUUUCCUGGAAUACUUUCUGGGCUUUGAGGUUUGGAGUUGACUUCAGAAGACCCUGUUGGAACUAUGUCUGUUCUGGUUGUUCUGCCUCCUUGAACUCCUUUCUACAGGCAAACUUGGAAGAAAAUUCCAUAAAGAUAACCUUGAAUUUACCUAUGUUAGUUACUGAAAUUAUACUGCCUUGCCUGCAUUUUCAUUUAUUUAUUUCACAAAAGCCCAAACUACUAUAUUUAAGGUGAGAUUAAGUCACCUUGCUAAAGGAAAUGGACUCUAUGUGAUUCAGAGAGGUUUGGUCCUAAUACAAGUAUUUAAGUAAUGUCAAUGACUUCUAAAAUUGGUUAUUUCAUUACCACCCCCCCAAAAAACUAGAACUCAUAGUUUUGUCAAAGGAAUUCCAAGACUUCAUCAAAGCAAUAUCAGGAUUAUAAGAUCUAUCUGCUCCUGUGGAUGACUAUAUCAAAAAGUAUGAUAUAGCCAUGCAAACUUUGAAAUUAGUAGUAGGGUACAUCCUUCUUUAAAACUAGUUGGAAAGAGAACUUAUCUGAUUCGUUGAAUUCUGUUGUGCUUUAUGCUGUUUCAAGGCUACAUUCAUGACCUCCUUUGAGAUAAAAAAAAAAAAACAUUUUUGCCACAGAGCAAGCAUUAUUAUCCCUAUUUGACAAGAGGGGAAACCAAGAUUGAGAAAGACUCUUUUUUGUCCAGGGUCACACCAUUAGCUUAGAGUCGAGAAUUGUACCCAAAUCUCCUGACAUCAUCCAUUCUUCUUUUCCUGUGCCAUGUUAUGCAUAUAUCCUGUAUCACUCUCUAUGUAUCCUGGAAAUAAUAAAUGGGGAAGGUGGCAAAUAUAGAGUAUUGGGUUUUGAGACAGGAAGUUCAAAUCUGACCUUGGAUACCAGCUGUGUGACUCUAGGCAAAUUAUUCAACCUGCAUCUGCCUCAGUUUCCUCAAUUGUAAAAUGGAGAUAAUAAUAGCACCUACCUCCCAGGGUAGUUGUGAUCAUGAAACAAAAUGUUUAUAAAGUGCUUAGCACAGUGCACAACCCGUUUGUUGUUCAGUUGUGUCCAACUUUUCAUGACUCCUUUUGGGGUUUUCUUGGAGAAGAUACCAGAGUGGUUUUCCAUUUCAUUCUCCAUCUCAUUUUACAGAUGAGAAAACUGAGGCAAACAGGGUUAAGUGACUUGGCCAGGGUCACAUAGGUAGGAUGUGACUGAGGCCAGAUUUGAAUUCAGGUUUUCCUGACUGCAGGCCCUGGCACUCUAUCUACUAUGCCAGCUAGCUGCCUGGCACAUCGUAGACAAUAAAUGCUUUUGAAAAAGGCCAAAUGGUUGAGGAGCGUUUUGAAGAAGAGUUCUAAAAGACUUCUAAAAAAUGCCCUGGCUGGCAUUCGUAAGUGGGAAUGAAGCUGUUGUGGCUUCUGCUCUUAGUUGAGGGCCUGUGAAUGGGGCCAGAUGGACAACCAAUGUAUGAUACCAUUGGCAGAGGAACCAGUAUGUUUUUUCCUCUUCUCAAUUUGUUGUAUCGCCAGAGAGAAAGACGGUGAAACUUCCAGACCAUGGAAUAACCUCAUCAUAUGUUAUUUUGCUUAAGGAGAACCAGGCUUCCUUAGUGACCAAGCACCAGUGAGACAGCCAUUCUUUGCCAGCAGAAAUAACUCUGUUAAGAGCUGUCCCUCUUUAGUAGGUGCACCUUUAUGGAGCUGGCCAGAAGGAAAAGUAAUUGAAUUUAAUAAAAGCAGUUCUCAAUAUAAAGCCACAGGGAAAUAUGUUUAACUUCAAAGUCCAGGCUCUUGGUUCCUAGAUGUAAUUAAUAGUUUAGCUGUUUCUUCUAUCAAAUCUCUAUUUGAUGGUGAAUUAAAUGGAUUCCCUAGCAUUUACUCACAUUUUAUAGUCCCAUAAAUUCUCAAUUGAUAGGUAUGGAUAGAUUGAUGAGUGCCUCAAAAAUGACAUUCAUUUGUGCCCUUCAAGUUGGUCCAGCUGCUGCUCCUUACCCAGUCAGUUUAAAAGUCCCACAAGAAAGGCAUUUAAAAGGGUGGUCAAAGGUGAGACUCGUAGAAAACCUAUGUGGAGAUGCUGCCCGUCUCUACAUCUCCUUCUCCCUGGAUGCUAACAAAAAGAUCUACAGAGAAAAACAAAUAUUCCUUUGCUCAGCAACCAAGUCACAAGAGAGGAGACUUUUGUUUUCUGGUGCCAUUGUUUGAAUAUGCCAAGUGUCUGAGGAACUGAUGCUUCCUCAGCACUGGCAGAAUCGCCUGACAAUUUGUUACAAAUGGAGAGGGCAUCCAAGAGGCCUGGGUUCUAAUCUCAGUUCUUCCACCCCAUGCCUAGGCCACAGGCUCAUAGAAUAGACCUUAGUGAUGAGCUAAUCCAACUACCUCAUUUUAUAGAGGGGAAAUUGGAACCCAUUCAGACCAAUUAAUUACCUGAGGCUACCUAAACCUCAUAAGGAGCAAAGUUGAGAUAUGAAUCCAUAUCCUCUGACUCCAAACCUAACACUCUUUACAUUGCACCCCCCUACCUCCUUGAAAUGGGCAAAUCCUUUAAGCUUGGUUAAGUUAACCUUAGUUACUCUGAAUCUCAGUUUCCAUAUCUGUAAUAUGGAGUAAAAAAUACUUGUGAUACAGUGGAGAGAGUACCAAUCAGGAAGAUGUGAAUUCAAAGCCAGCCCCAGACAGUUACUUGCUGUGUGGCCUUGAGCAAACUACUUAGCUCCCACCUGCCUCAGUUUCCUUGUCUGUAAAAUGUGGACAUUAAAAAUAUCUCCCAUCUAAAGUUGUUGUGAGGGCUAAAUGAGAUAAUUAUAAAGCAUUAAGCAUAGUGUCUAGUACCUAGUAAAUGCCAUAUGUGUUAGCAAUUAUAUUAUUUACUUCACAGAAUAGUUAUGAAGAAAGUGCUAAUUGUAAAGCUUUUUUUUUUUAAUCAACUCAUCUCUUAGCCAUGAGUUGGAGUAGCUGUUAGCAGUAAUUCCACUGUUGAAAUCCUAGAUGAUAUGAAGUAAUGAAAUGUUGCCCCUCAAGGUGUGACUGCCUCUAAUUCAGCAGGUAAAGAAAUUUAGAAUAUAGAAUUUGAAGACCAUAUUCAACAGCUAUGGCCUGACAAGCAAUCUGCUUGCCUCCAGUGCUUCCUACUUUGAGUGAUGCAUUUGGGCUCGUAUUCAAUGAGCUCUCUAUUUUAUGUCCUUACUGAAUUUUUGUUUUAAAUUGGCUCAUUCAUACCUCUAGACAAUCCACAGAAGUCAGAAUCUAUCCAAGUAUGCCGGGAGCCAUCAAAGACCACGUUGUUUGACCCAGUCCACAUGGAAACUCAGGACUACAAAGCAGCCCCCAGGAAGGAUGGGAACAUCCACUGAAACCCCCCUAAAUGACCUUCAUUAUUAACAUCCCCUUAUUAUUUGAAUAGCCAUGAUUAUUAUUCUUACUUAGUCCCAGGAAAAAUAGAUGAGAGCAACAUGCUUGUAGGAUUAAUACAGAUGUCCCACUCUGUCCCCCCAGGAUAUUACCAGGAGACCCCACUUAUAAAAUUAAAACUAAAGAUUCUUAUAUAUCCACUUAGAUAGGACCCUUUUUUCUAGGCAUAAAAACUUCUGUCAAAUCUGUGCUCUGAAUUCCCUAACUUAUAUCUGGGUCAUGUUGAUUCUACUCACUGAUCUUGCCCUUAGCAACAAUGUUUCAUUGACUAUCUCCCUAGGCUUCCUGUCUGUUGUUAAGUUCCAUGGAAACAUGUAUUUUGAGAAUGAAACUGUGUGCCAAGUAGAUGUGUGAUCAUGAGGGUAUAAAAUAAAGCCAGGCCUCAGCCAAGGUGGAGCAGUUUAUCCUGUGAAACCUGUGCUGUGGGUUGAAUGUGAAAGCUGGGUCCCAUCCAUCAUUUCGGUGACACUGUCCCACCUCUGAGACCCCAGCUCCUGUGGGAAGCUGGCCCCCUCCACGGCACAAGUACACAGAGAAAAAAACUUCUUUCAUAUUCUUUAGCAUUCGUCCUGAAGAAGAAAAAUGAAUAUGAAAGAAAGAGAAAGGAUAUAACAAAAGCCCAAAUCUAGGAAAUCCUUCCUUGGCUUCUUUACAAAACUAAGUACCUCUAUGAAAUUAUGACAUAGAAAGGAGAAGUUCAUUGAAAUAAUAUCUCUAUAUAUUCAGUGAUAUUAGGCAAUUUCUAGACUGAAUUAGAGCAAAAAACAUAGAGUCAGGAAGGUCUGAACUCAAAUAUUCCCUCAGACACUCACUAACUGUGUGAGUCUGGGUAAGUAAUUUACCCUCUCUCAGACUCAGUUUCUUUAUUUGCAAAAUGGAGAUGAUAAUGUAUUAUAGAGAUAUAAAGCAUGUAAAGCAUUUUGCAAUCUAAGGUACCUUAUUAAUGUCUUUAUUAUUACUCAGAACUUCAACUUCCAAAUAUCUUUAGUCCUAAUAGAGCAGGUUUCAGAGAAAAUUAGAGAAAUUUAUGGUUAUUUAGAAAGUUGGCCACACUAUUGGUCACUUAGAUUUGAAAAAAGUCUCCAUAGGGAAAGUAUAACUAAGUAUAAAAAAGAUACUGUAAAACUAUGUUUAGUGAGUUCUUGGAUCAUACUAUGGAAAUGCAUAUGUAAAUGGACUUGGUUUUCAAAUUUUAAAAAGUUAAAGAAUAGCCAUUAUUAACUUGUCUAAGUCACAUGGCUUUUAUCUUCCUUCUGACACUGCCAUUCACCCCCUUCUCUAAAGGUUUCUGGGACAUGAUUCUGUCUUUUUUUAAAUCUGUGUUUGUUUUAGCUGGCCUUCAUUUAAUCCAUUUUAAGAAUUUGGAUUUAACUUAGCUACUCAAAUGAAAGAGGAUGAGGAAAAGGAGAAGACCAUAUAUCCCUGCAAUCAAGACAUGGAAUCCUAGCUGGUCAUUCACAGAUGUUGCAUCACCCUCUGACAACAAGCUAGAGAGAGAGGAUAAGUAGUUACUAUAGAUCACAAAAUAUCAGAAGAGCUGCUGUUUGAAUGAAAUUAGAAAAUUAUAUUGGUUUAAUUUAGCAUCCAAGAAGCAUAAAUUAAAUACCUAGUAGUUUCAAGGCCUUUCUCUAGACAGUGAAGACACAAAGACAAAAAAUGAAGCAGGCCUUGCCCUCAAGAAGCUUACAUCCUACUUCAGGGAUUUGUUGUUGUUGUUGUUUGGUCUUGUCUGACUCUUUAUGACUCCAUUUGGGAGUUUUCUUGGCAAAAAUACUGGAGUGAUUUGUCAUUUCCUUCUCCAGCUCAUUUUACAGAUGAGGACACUGAGGCAAACAAGGUUAAGCAAUUUGCCCCAGGGUCACACAGAUAGUAAAUAUCAGAGCAUGGAUUUGAAUUCAGGAAGAUGAGUCUUCCUGACUCUAGGUCCUGUGCUUUAUCCAUUGAGCCAACUAGCUGCCCUAACUAUAAGGAUACAACAUGUAUAUUAUGAGUAAAUGCAAAGUAGUUUUAAGAUGGAAUAAACCUAAUAGUAUUAUUGCUGGGUAUAAGGGUAAACUGUGAAUCUUAAAACUGCUCAGACUGUACCUUAGAAGAUUUGGUUAAGCAAAUUCCACUAUUGUAACAAUGGAGGUACUUGAUCAGGAAUGUAUUGAGAACUUUUAAAAUUACUCCACCCUACUUUAACAUUGACUUAGGGGAAGAUAAAGAUGUAAACUCCCAAUGGAACAAUGAAAGUCCCUAACUCAUACCUUACAGUGAAGCCAAACCCUUAAGCUAGGUGGUCUAUUUUUAGAUCUAAUACAUAAAGGUGCUAACUACCUAUAAAGAUUAAAUUAAUCACUAAAAGGUCAAGCAACUUACAAAAGGCAAGCUUAACAAAAGAGGUGUGAAGUACUCAGAAGAUAUAAUCUGCCCAGAGAAGGUGAGAACUAAAGAGUAGAGUGGUGAGAACUAAAAAUGGGCAGUCCUGGGAAAAAGUGUCUACUCUGAUUGGUAAAUGUGAAAUUUUAGGGGAGGUGACAUAAGAGAAAAUUUCUUUAAAAGGAGAAUUCAGUUCAGUUUGGUUUUAAUUCACUUUGGAAGCUGAAUUGGAGCUCUGAACUCAGUUCAAGAGUUCAGGAGUUCAGUGGAGGACUGGAGCUUGCUUGAGAUGAUCUUGUGGUGAGUGAUAAAGACUGACUCGCUCUCCCUUAGGCUCAGGCCUAGGCCAUUUGGUCUAGGCCCUUUCUUUUCUCUCUCUCUCUCUCUCUCUCUCUCUCUCUCUCUCUCUCUCUCUCUCUCUCUCUCUCUCUCUCUCUCUCCCUUCUUCCCUUAAUUCCUUCAUUUGUAUUAUUUAAAAUCUCCAUAAAACCCAACUGACUUGGGUAUUUUCAUAUUUGGGAAUUUUCCCAUGACAACCACUUAAUUUUAGAUUUUAAAUCAAGACACUAAAAAUUAUCUUUACAGUUUGGCAAAAACCUUUACAGUCUUGGCAAACCAUAUUUUCAUGGUUACAAAACACAGUUUUAUACCUUUUGGGGCAUAAUUCUAAAUUGUUCUCUAAAAUAGUUGGACCAGUUCACAAUUCUACCAGCAAUGUUUUAGUGUCCCGAUUUUUCUACAUCCCUUCCAACAUUUGUCAUUUUCAUCUUCUAUCAUUUUAACUAAUCGUAUAGGUAUAAUAUGGUACCUUAGAGUUGCUUUUAAUUCCUAUUUCUCUAAUCAAUAAUUAUUUCCAGCAUUUUUUCAUAUGACUGUAGCUUUGGUUUCUUCUUCCAAAAAUUGCCUGUUUAUAUCCUUUGAUCAUUUAUCAGUUGAGGAGUGACUUAUAUUCCUGUAAAUUUGACUCAGUUCUCUAUGUAUUUGAGAUAUAUAUUUGAGAUUUGAGGCCUUUAUCUGGGAAUCUGACUAUAAAAAAUCUUCCCCAAUUUUAUGUUUUCCUUUUAAUCUUGGCUAUGUUGUUUUAUUUAUAUAAACCUUUUUAAUCUGAUAUAAUCAAAAUUAUUCAUUUUAUAUUCCCCAAUGUUUUUUCUCAUUUGUUGAUCAAUUCUUCUCUUAUCCAUAAAUCUGAUAGGUAAUAUGUUCCAUGCUUCUAAUCCACUCACUAUAUUUCCCUUUCUGUCUAGGUUUUGUAUCCAUUUUGAUCUUAUCUUGGUAAAUAGUGUAAGAUAUUGGUCUACUUUCUGCCAGCCUACUUUCUAGCUUUCCCAGAAAUUUUUACCACAUAGUGAGUUCUUAUCCUAAAUGCUUAGGUCUUUGCAUUUAUCAAACACAAGGUAACUAUCAUCACUUACUACUAGGUCUUGUACACCUACUCCAAUUAAGAUGUAUUUGUGUCCUGAUAUGUCAACCACUUUCUUUGAUGGAGCUUAAGAGAGCAACUUCAGACAAAUAGGACUGAAAAUAGUUUAGCUCUAGAGACAAAGAGAAUUCUAAGCUACAUGUGUAUACAGACAUACACACACUCCAAGCUAGAAGCCAGAAGUGGAGGAAAAACCAGGAGCUCAUUCUUGGGGAUGAAGUGAGGGUUUCGCUCUCCCUAGUUAGCCCUACUCCCUGGUUAGCCCUAUCCCUGAUUAGCCCUAUCAUUUUGAAAUGGCAUUGGUUAAUAGUAGGCAACACUACAUCCAGUCAGAAACAAAGAAGAAACAUUCUAGACAAAGCAUGGAUACAGAGUAGUGUUAACUCAAGGGACAAAGCUGCUUUGGGAAAUAAAGUUGCAGUUGGAGGAACAUUUGGCAGCAGAGAAGACAGCCAGAAGUGGAGAGGAGCAGAGAUCCUGGGAACUCUGGAUGAGGGCUCUUCAAAGAAAAAAAAAAUCCCAGGUCCAGUAAUGCCAAGAGUUUUAAGUUUCUAUACAUACACCUCAAUCCUCUUAUACUCUCACUCUGAACUCUCUCUUCCCACAUAAACUGUAUGGGAUUACGGGAAAGCACACUAGAGAUUCUGGGGUGGGGGAUUGAUUUGUACCUAUUCUUAUUACAAUAGCAACAUUGAAAUCUUUUUGCUGAGGGCUGAUUUUAUCUACCAAUCAUGGCUAUUAUCAGGAGACUUGUUCUCUCUUUUGUUAGGCAUCUAGACCCACAGGAUUACCACUAGAAUCCACAGUAGCAGCUGCCCCAUCAGGACCCACCCUGUUAAUGGAUUUCAACAACAACAAAAAAUAUCCUAAUGUCUUUGGAGUCUCUCUCUUUAAGUCCCAGGCAGGAUUCUUCAUUUAUUCAUUCUUAGUCAUUUCUAUUCAUUUGAUUAAAGUUAAUGUUUACUUCAUUCUUCUGGAAGGUUGGUAUUAAUCACAGGUAGAUUAUUAGAAUACAUGAAUCUGGACCUAGACCUUGAAAAAAAAGAAUAGGAUUUGGGACUGGCAGAUAGGAGUGAAAGGGCAUUCCUAUGAGUUUGGGGUAGGGGGAAAAGAUGGCCAAAGACAAAGCAAAGAAAUCCUCCCUGAUGUAAUUCUGAAUGCCAAAGUGACUCAAAAAUCCUUUCUGGGUAUAUUUCAUGCUUGGAAGGAAAUGGAAAGCAUGUGAUCCAACCUGGAACACAACGAAAUACAGUGGAAAAAGUGAUUCCAUCCUCAGACAGAGUACUCUGUCCUUCCUCCAGGAAAGCUUCAUUCCCUCAUCACCUUCUCUGGAGCUGGUGUAUGUACUUCAUGCAACUUCUCACACUGACUUUUUUUUUCUUAGCAGGAAGCAUCACUCUUUAUGAUGUCUUGAGACUUUUAAAGCCAGUGUUAAACAAGUUCAAACAUUUAACAGUAUAUUAAGCAAGACUCCAGGUGUAAGCUCCACCUCCCAUCCCCCAAAUGCCUGUGAGCUACUUGGUGGAACCAUCCAGCUCUGAAGUGAGCAAACCCGGGUUCUAGCCCAUUCUCUUUGGUUAGAGAAACAGUGACUAUCACACACUACUAAUUCCUUGAAUUUCUCCUUCUCUCAAACUACUUCUAAGCUUUUCCUGGUAACAGGGCAGAAGACCAACUAAGGUAGCAGAAGCUAUCUGUAGUUUUAAUAGCAAAGUUUUAAAAGUUUGUGGUUUCCUUGAAGUAAAUGUAAAUAACUAUAGGGUGGGACUGGAGAAUUUGGUUUACUAACAAUACAGUAUGAUGUGAAGGUAUACUUCUAAAUAGGCUAUUUAAGGAGCCACAUAAAUAAAUAUCAUACAUUGGAGUAUGUGGGGUGUUUAGGAAGGACUACCACCUCUGCUGUGAGGGCUUGCCAAGCCUUUUUAGGGCUGCUCAUCCACGAACUCUUAUUUGUGGCUCCAAGAAAUUGUAGCAUGUGCCACAGCCAUAUCCCAAGAAAACCAUUCUCAGGAGACUAGCUAAACCAGGCUGAGGGUAACCAACGUGCCCCAAAUCUAUGAGUAAGUCAGGAGAUGUUUAUCCCAUGUGUAUGAAAACUUGCCCUGGCAGAACAGUCAGAUGAGAACAAUUUGUUCCAAUGAUCAUGAAGGUGGCUGAAGAGCCUGCUCAAGACAUUGAAGAUACCAAGGUCACCCACUUUAUCCUGGGCCAUUGCCAUCAUCCUGGCUUUUGCCUUGCCACUAGACUUUGAUGACCCUAGAAGAGAGAGUGAGUCUGAGAACAACUGUGUAAUUCUACUUCAUUUAAAUCCAAUUCAAGCAUCCAUCCAGACAUCAUCCCACAAUAUCAUUAGUCCCCUUUGAAAGGAAAGACAAAAAAUACCCAUCAGAUAAAUUUGAUCUUUGUCUGUUCAGAUGAUUAUUAGAGGUUAAUGAGUAAGAAUAAAGACAUCAUAGAAAAAGUUGGGUAAGAUUAUUAUUUUCCCUAUAAUGUGAAAAGGAUCACAAUGGGAGGAGAGACUAAGAGGUUUGUAGAGUUAGAAUAGCUCAGAACAGCUCAGAACCUUAGAAUUUCAGAUAUUCUUAAUCUGGGUUCUGUGAAACUGUUGGUCUAACAUUUUAAUGAGUUUAUCUCCAAAAGAACUGGUUUCUUUUAUAAUCUUUUAUUAUCCUAUUAUUUGUGCAUUUUAAAAUUAUUUCACUAAAUAACUCUUGGCAAGUCACUUCUGUUUGCCUCAGUUUGCUCAUCUGUAAAAUAGGACCCAUAUCUGUCGGUAUUAUGAAGAUGAAAUGAGACAGCAUAUGUAAAAUGUUUUUUAAACCUUAAAGCACCAUAUAAAUGCUAGCUGUUGUUAUUAUUAUUAUUAAAAACAUUAUUCUGGGAAAGAGAUCUAUAGACUUCCCUAGGCUGCAAAGGUACAUGACUCAAAAGAACCCCCAGUCUAGUCCAACUUCUUCAUUUUACAUAUAUAGAAACUAAAACCCUGAGAGCUUAAAUAAUUUGACCAAGAUUACACUGGUAAUGAGAGGUGGAGCCAGGUUUUGGACCCAGACUGAGGGGAAAGAGUUGAUCCAAUAGUGUACUAAAUCUUGUAAUAUAUGACUAGCCUGAACUUAAAUGGAACUUUGAAUAGCAAUGACACAUAUGAGUUUGUUUUGAUGGAUUGAAUUCAUCUUAUUCUAACAUUCAUCUCCUUCCUACUAAGUUUUUCAGUGGCAUUUUUUGCAUAUUUUAUAUGCCAUAAAAUAACCAACAACUUGUCUUCACAAAAUUUUAGGUCUUAGGAUCCACCUCUCCCAUUUACACACUCUGUCCCUAAUUCCUUCUUCUAUAACCCCAAUUAUGUGCUAACUAAUAAAAGAAGAAUUAUAUUCACUCUAAGUUGGAGUCAUCACUAGGUGGUUGAAACCUUAGGGGUAUGGGAUAUAUAUACCUCCUUGGAAGUUAGCAGAGAACAACAGAACAACCUUUCAGCCAUUGCUUGGAGGACUUGAACUGGUGAAGAGGACAAAAGUCUUUUUGCCAUGUCUUGAAGACAAACAAAAAACAAACAAAAAAUCUUAGCAGAACUGGGUUCUAAUAAUCGGACAGUUAUGAGUACCAACAGAGCCACUAAAAUACCUGGGUUUUGGAAUAA
Monodelphis domestica (gray short-tailed opossum) is the source of this 11992-nucleotide long non-coding RNA. RefSeq lists it as uncharacterized. Lineage: Eukaryota; Metazoa; Chordata; Mammalia; Didelphimorphia; Didelphidae. The record is from RefSeq and is a predicted model, not a curated record.